Molecule: non-coding RNA, 1015 nt
Organism: Paralichthys olivaceus (Japanese flounder)
Lineage: Eukaryota; Metazoa; Chordata; Actinopteri; Pleuronectiformes; Paralichthyidae
Source: RefSeq, a predicted model, not a curated record
ACUUGCAGGAAUCCUGGUCCAUCCACCGAUACAUGAUUCGGCCCCUGUUUUGGGUUUGCAUCCUGGCACCGGUGAUUUGCUACCUGGCACAGCGUUGCUACCUGGCACAGCGUUGCUACCUGGCACAGCGUUGCUACCUGGCACAGCGUUGCUGCCCGGCACUGGCACGGUGGUUCAUGUGGCCCGCAACGAUCAUGAUGUCGUCCGUCAGGAAUCUCUACAAUUACAUUAUAGAAUUUCUCUGGUUGUAAUAUUCUAACCGGGAGAACAAUCCCCUCAGGUUCUGGCUCAUCCUGUUGGUUUUUGUUGUUGUGGUUGGUCUGAUUAUUCUGAUGCUCAUUUUGCUCCUGAAAUAACAUGAUGGAGGACAGUGAACGUGAGAAAACAGAAAGCAAAUGAAGGAAACUUAAAUCUAAUUAAAUCACWUUAUCAACAUUACAUAKUCCUAAAAUCAGAAAGUGCCAAUGUAUGUGUAACUAAUAUUGAAGGAUUCUGGGCUGAAGAGUUUUACUCUACCUUUGUUUAGAUAAGCGCUUUACAAAUACAGUAAUUAUAUCAAAGCUAUCAUAUCUGGGAAAGAGGUGGUGGCUGAUGGGAAGUSAAAAGUGAAAGUGACUGCAAGAUGAAAAGUGAGCAGCUUAAAAAUAUUAKCUUCAAAUCAAGUUGACAGACAAAGAGGGAGAKAAAUGAAACACUAACACAUCGAGAUAAAYGUAAAAAGWMAUUUCAAUGUGCAGUUGUCAUAUAGUUGUAACACAGAUGUUAAGAUUGACUUUUUAAUUUCAGAGUCACUUGAUGUCAGCAGUAGUUUAUGCUUUUGAGAAAUGUUUUUCUGUCGUGUUUGAAUUUGUCUUGACUGGAAUCUUAUGUGUUUCCAAUGAAGACUCACGUUUCUAUCGAAUAAUGACUUUUGCUGCUCAACACUGCUUAAAAUAUUUAGAUCACGUUCAUGUUAUCAUCAUGUUGUCUUAGCUUGUCUCUGUAAACUUAGAGUUCCAUUUGAAAGUGAAUCAAU